UGGGGAAUUUUGGGCAAUGGGCGAAAGCCUGACCCAGCAACGCCGCGUGAAGGAUGAAGUAUUUCGGUAUGUAAACUUCGAAAGAAUAGGAAGAAUAAAUGACGGUACUAUUUAUAAGGUCCGGCUAACUACGUGCCAGCAGCCGCGGUAAUACGUAGGGACCAAGCGUUGUUCGGAUUUACUGGGCGUAAAGGGCGCGUAGGCGGCAAUUCAAGUCAUCUGUGAAAUCUCCGGGCUUAACUCGGAACGGUCAGAUGAUACUGCUUUGCUAGAGUGCAGAAGGGGCAAUCGGAAUUCUUGGUGUAGCGGUGAAAUGCGUAGAUAUCAAGAGGAACACCUGAGGUGAAGACGGGUUGCUGGGCUGACACUGACGCUGAGGCGCGAAAGCCAGGGGAGCAAACGGGGAUUAGAUACCCAUGUAGUCCCUGAGCGGGCUGGCAAGGCGCAU
This 448-nucleotide ribosomal RNA is filed under the name uncultured bacterium. RNAcentral's name for it is "bacterial SSU rRNA". It matches the Rfam family "Bacterial small subunit ribosomal RNA", at positions 355 to 825 of the family's 1533-position model. The record is from RNAcentral.